CAUCCUGGGGCUGUAGUAGGUCCCAAGGGUUGGGCUGUUCGCCCAUUAAAGUGGUACGCGAGCUGGGUUCAGAACGUCGUGGGACAGUUCGGUCCCUAUCCGUCGCAGGCGUAGGAAAUUUGAGAAGGCCUGUCCUUAGUACGAGAGGACCGGGAUGGACGUACCUCUGGUGUACCAGUUGUCCUGCCAAGGGCAUGGCUGGGUAGCUA
RNAcentral lists this ribosomal RNA (209 nucleotides) under Clostridioides difficile. Its description in RNAcentral is "partial 23S ribosomal RNA". It matches the Rfam family "Bacterial large subunit ribosomal RNA", at positions 2543 to 2751 of the family's 2925-position model. Lineage: Bacteria; Bacillati; Bacillota; Clostridia; Peptostreptococcales; Peptostreptococcaceae. The record is from RNAcentral.